GCCGGGCGUGGUAGCGUGCGCCUGUAAUUCCGGCUACUCGGAAGGCUGAGGCGGAAGUAUCGCCAGAGCCCAGCAGGUCGAGGCUGCGGUGCGGUGGCCGGGAGCGGUCACUGCACUCCAGUCUGGGUGACAGAGUGAGACUCCAACUCAAAAAAAAAAAAAAAAAAACUCCCGUGCUGAUCAGUAGUGGGAUCGCGCCUGUGAAUAGCCACUAUACUCAAGCCUGGGCAACAUAGCGAGACCCUGUCUCU
This 251-nucleotide small RNA is filed under the name Carlito syrichta (Philippine tarsier). RNAcentral describes it as "Metazoan signal recognition particle RNA (ENSTSYG00000036001.1)". The record is from RNAcentral. Lineage: Eukaryota; Metazoa; Chordata; Mammalia; Primates; Tarsiidae.